GAAUUGCACACAAAAGAGGGAGAAAAAAGUAACAAGACAGCAUUGCCAGUCCUAUACUUUGUCCAUGUGCUAAUAUCUGCUGAUGAAUUCGAAGAAAAAGGUAGAUUUGACUGUUAACAUGAAACUCUGAUUGAAACCAAGCCAGAAACAAAAACCAAGUUAUGACAUCUGUAUUAUUUUCAUUAUCAAUAUCUGUGUAAAUCAGUUAAGUACUUUAGUCCUUGAGCCAUUUAUAAUGUAGUAGUCUGUAUUAUUUAUCUUUAUUUUGUUGCUAUAAUAAAUACUUCUCUUAUCAUAUUUAGAUAUUGAAAAUAAUAAAUCUUAAGUGGUGCGUAUAAGCUGUAUAUGACUGAAGUAAAGACAAGCGAUUAUUCAUUUGAAAAUGAUCAUCAUGACUAAGAAUAAAGUACUUCUAGGCUGCUUGGAGAUGUGUACAGCAUGUGACUGUAUGUGUA
Molecule: long non-coding RNA, 455 nt
Filed under: Homo sapiens (human)
Lineage: Eukaryota; Metazoa; Chordata; Mammalia; Primates; Hominidae
Description: HSALNT0112074
Source: RNAcentral